AGUGAACGCUGGCGGUAGGCCUAACACAUGCGAGUCGAACGGCAGCACAGUAAGAGCUUGCUCUUACGGGUGGCGAGUGGCGGACGGGUGAGGAAUACAUCGGAAUCUACUUUUUCGUGGGGGAUAACGUAGGGAAACUUACGCUAAUACCGCAUACGACCUACGGGUGAAAGCAGGGGAUCUUCGGACCUUGCGCGAUUGAAUGAGCCGAUGUCGGAUUAGCUAGUUGGCGGGGUAAAGGCCCACCAAGGCGACGAUCCGUAGCUGGUCUGAGAGGAUGAUCAGCCACACUGGAACUGAGACACGGUCCAGACUCCUACGGGAGGACGCAGUGGGGAAUAUUGGACAAUGGGCGCAAGCCUGAUCCAGCCAUAACGAGUGGGUGAAGAAGGCCUUCGGGUUGUAAAGCCCUUUUGUUGGGAAAGAAAAGCAGCAGGUUAAUACCCCGCUGUUCUGACGGUACCCAAAGAGUAAGCACCGGCUAACUUCGUG
RNAcentral lists this ribosomal RNA (492 nucleotides) under uncultured bacterium. RNAcentral describes it as "partial 16S ribosomal RNA". It matches the Rfam family "Bacterial small subunit ribosomal RNA", at positions 29 to 507 of the family's 1533-position model. The record is from RNAcentral.